Molecule: ribosomal RNA, 377 nt
Filed under: uncultured bacterium
Lineage: Bacteria
Description: bacterial SSU rRNA
Rfam family: Bacterial small subunit ribosomal RNA
Source: RNAcentral
GACGAACGCUGGCGGCAUGCCUAACACAUGCAAGUCGAACGAGACCGUUCGGGUCUAGUGGUCGCACGGGUGCGUAAACGCGUGGGAAUCUGCCCUUAGGUACGGAAUAACUCAGGGAACUUGUGCUAAUACCGUAUGAUGUCUUCGGACCAAAGAUUUAUCGCCUAGGGAUCGAGCCCGCGUUGGAUUAGCUAGUUGGUGGGUAAAGGCCUACCGAAGGCGACGAUCCAUAGCUGGUCUGAGAGGAUGAUCAGCCACACUGGGACUGAGACACGGCCCAGACUCCUACGGGAGGCAGCAGUGGGAAUAUUGGACAAUGGGCAAAGCCUGAUCCAGCAAUGCCGCGUGAGUGAAGAAGGCCUUAGGGUUGUAAAGCU